GACGAACGCUGGCGGCGUGCCUAAUACAUGCAAGUAGAACGCAGUUGCGAACGGGUGAGUAACGCGUAUGUCACUGCCUCUUAGAGGGGGAUAACUAUUGGAAACGAUAGCUACUACCGCAUACUAGUAGAUGGACCUGCGUUGUAUUAGCUAGUAGGUCGGGUAAUGGCCUACCUAGGCGACGAUACAUAGCCGAACUGAGAGGGGGGUCAGCCAAACGGGGAAUGAGACAAGGCACAGACUACUACGGGAAGCAGCAGGAGGGAAUAUUCGGGAAUGGGGGGAACCCUUGCCGGGCAACGCCGCGGGAGUGAAGAAGGUUUUCGGAUCGGAAAGCUCUGUUGGUAAGGAAGCGGUACUUAACCAGAAAGGGACGGCUAACUACGUGCCAGCAGCCGCGGUAAUUC
Molecule: ribosomal RNA, 407 nt
Filed under: uncultured bacterium
Lineage: Bacteria
Description: partial 16S ribosomal RNA
Rfam family: Bacterial small subunit ribosomal RNA
Source: RNAcentral